RNAcentral lists this unclassified non-coding RNA (447 nucleotides) under Buddleja albiflora. RNAcentral describes it as "partial external transcribed spacer". The record is from RNAcentral. Lineage: Eukaryota; Viridiplantae; Streptophyta; Magnoliopsida; Lamiales; Scrophulariaceae.
GUUGGCGUGUAUUGGCAUGUUGGAUCCCUGCUUGGGCAGCGACGACAUUCCAUGCAAGCCUCUUCAUUCCUCGGCUCAAGUGCUUGUUUGCCUUGGCCGCCGUCCCUUUUUCUUGUGCUGAAUACCCACAACGGGGGCACAAGGUUGGCUAMAACGUCCCACUUCCGCCUUGUGCUGCGCCCCUCGGGGCCGUGGUGCGGGGUGGACCUCAAAGCAUUCGCCGUGCGCCACGUCCCGCGCAAGUGCCUCCGCACGUGCUCGGGUUGUUGGCUCAUGGAGUCUUGCUCGAUCUCUCGGAUGCGGAACAGUGAGUGGGUACGAGGCCCCCGGCCUCUAUUUGCCCCGAAAACAAGCGUUCGGCGCUUCGUGCGAACGACUGUCGUUUUCGUUUUGACCGGGUCCUCGUGGCUCGGCUCAUGCGAAACCGCCGUCGAUGAGGAAUGCUAC